Molecule: RNA transcript, 3793 nt
Organism: Biomphalaria glabrata
Lineage: Eukaryota; Metazoa; Mollusca; Gastropoda; Planorbidae
Exons: 4
Source: RefSeq, a predicted model, not a curated record
UCUAUCGAGUUAUAAUUAUAAAUAGAAUAGGAAAGCUGUGACAUAUUUGGAGGCUCGUUUAUCUAGUUACUUGACUGAGUCUUGGAAGACAUUAGGCAGAACUGCGGUUCGCCAUUGUGAAAAGGUCAAGGACCAAGAAAGUCGUGAAGAGUGUGCGCUCACGUGCAACGGCGGGAAAAAACUAAGUCAAUCAGCCGAGACGAAACCAGGUCAAACAUAGUGAUAAAACUAUUAGUGUUGUUUAUAUUGUAUACUAGAGAUAAACAAAAUGGCAGAGAGAUUAACACAGUUAAUAGCCGCUGGAAAAGAGAUGGGAUUGUCAAGGACAGCUCUACAUAAGUGGGUGAAAGAAAGAGAAGUCAAGCUGGAAAAGAAAGAAAAAGAAGACAGAGAGCGAGAUGAAAGAGCUAAAGAGAGAGAAGUGAGAGCUAAAGAGAAAGAAGCUGAUGUAGAAAUACACAAAUUGAGAGUUAGAGAGUUGGAGCUUAGGGAUACAAAAGGAGAAAUCAAAGAGCAUAUAAAACCUGUAUGGAAGCCAAAGUUGCCACCUUUCAAUGAGAACGUGGAUCAGAUGGAUGCAUAUUUGGCGAGAUUUGAAGUGCAUGCUCAAGCUACAGAUAUACCUAAAACUCAAUGGGGAAGUCAUCUUUACACAUUGUUACAGGGAAUAGCACUGCAAGCUUGUAUCAACUUUUCUAAGAAAGAUUUAGAGGAAUAUGACAAGGUGAAAGAAGUAUUGAUGAAAAGAUACAACUUGACAGAUGAUGGGUAUAGAGAGAAGUUCCAUAAAGCUAAACCAGAGAGAAACCAGCCAUUCCAUGAAUUUGUUGAGGACAUUACAAGAUACUUAAUGCGUUGGGUAGAAUUGUCUAAUACUGAAAAGACAUUCGAAAGUCUCAUUGAUUUGUUCAUCAGAGACAAGAUCCUCACAUCAUGCAACCCUCAGUAGGUGGCUUUUCUACAUGAAAGGAAACCGAAAGAUGUGCCAACAGCUGUAAAGUUGUGUCAGCAAUAUAUUACUGCACAUCCAGAGCAGACAAUUCAGAGAGAGGAAGACUUGAUAACUAGCAAGUUUGCAUUUGCUGCAAAGACCAAUGAUAACAGAACUCGCUUUAAACAAGAAUGGAGACAGGACCGUCUGCAGAAAAGAAGUGUGGGUGAAAAAAGAAAAUGUUUUAAGUGUUUCAAAACGGGACAUUUAGCAGCCCAAUGUAGAAACAAAAGCCCGCUAAGACGAAAUGAGACUAUGGGUUCAAGCAGAAGUAAGGAGUUUAAAACCAGCAAUAGGGGAAGACCGACUGGACAUCCAUACAUUAACAUUACGACUGUGUCGACCCCCGCGCUCAGAGAGAAAAACGUCCUAACGUCUUUUUGUUCAAACGAUUCUUGAGAAGAAAAAAGAAAACUCUCCUCUAGAGGAUCGAUGUUUCAGCUAUCGAUUGACUCGCUGGAUGACAUUGACAAUGAGUAACAGUUCAUCUGAGUGUGUAGCUUCAAAGUGGAAGUUGCAAACUCAUCAUCAAGUCAAAAACCUGGAACAUGCCUGAAUGUCGACGAGAUCAAACCAAGUUAGUCGUCUUCCUGGUUGUGAUGGUUGUCAUUGAAACGGCUGUCAUUUUCAGCGUAAUGCACAUGGAACACAAGAAAGCAGAAAAUGCUGCUAAUAAGAAACGAGCAGAGAGACAAUUAGAAUUGCUGAAAUGUCCAGGAAACAGAACUAAAUGUAGAGUCCGUACAAAGCGUAUUAUUUCACAGUCUGGCACCGUAUACAUCAACAACUGAUUAGAGUAUAACAAACUGAUUCAUUAAAUAAAACAGGUUACAUUUUUGUGAUGUAGAGAAUUAAAUCAAUGACACAUAGCAGGAUAAUAGGAUAUUCAAUGAUAGCACAAAGGGUACUAGCAAUAGUAUAAGUAUAUAUGGGUCAUCUGUUUGUUCUGCACUGUUUGCAGUCAUUUGAUUUUAGAGUUUUAUGUGCUUGUCUAUAAACGCAUUUACAUAUAGACUUACUUACAAUUUAAAAGUACAAAUACAUGUGGUAAUGGGUGCCCGCAGGCAUUUUUGCAGGAGAUGCAAGUUGUCACCUAUCUCUCAAAGUCGUCGCUUCAAUUUUCUUGAUAUGUAGAAUAUUACUACCUAUGCGAUAUUAAGUGCACUGUAAAUAGAAAAACAACAACUAAAAAUGUAAACAAAGUAUUUACUGUAAACGCUGUUAAGUUUAUUGUGGCCCGUGCCUUCCAACGGUUGAUCAAACAAAAACUGAAAUUUUGACUGUGGCUGCCGACACUAUCAAAAGUUAACUACUGAAUUGCUUCCCGUCAUGACGGACCAGCUGGUGAUGAACGCUUACCGCGCAGUUCUCAUAUUCUUUAUGUUGCAGCUCUUUCAUCGUCUUAGGUUGAACUGAGCGUUAUUAUUGCUUGAAAAACGAGACGUAAUGAAGAAACUAACCAAUCACGAUAGGAAGUGUAAAAGCCCUGUUCUGUAAUAACUCCCUAAAUCGAAACAUGUAGUUUUGGCUCGAUGUCGGCGUGUCUGUCGACUGCCAAUUCUCGGCAGCACCAACUAAGUACCCGGUACCACAUUUGUCUGCCAACAGUCUAGCCUUCCCCAAGUUAAGCGGUUAUGUUGGACUGACUGCAACAUCAGAUGAAUAAUUGACAACAAUUAAAACACAAUCAGUAAUCAGUGCCUUCUUCUCAUGUGCGAAUGGAUUCGUAUUUCUCAGUUCGUGUGUCUCCCACAAAAGAGGUAACUUUACUCUCGCUUGGGACUAUUACGGAAGAAAUUGCCUUCUUGAUGACACCAACAGCAUUACAUAUACCUGAAACGUCAUUCAGGUCAUUAAUAACAAAGUUAAGUCACAGUUCUGAAUGCUAGGCAUUACAGCCAUGGUAGAUUUGGUUUAGUUGUUUGUCCAAAUCUAGAUUGUACAUAAUGUAUUCGCUGACAACGACGUUAGACACAGGCAUGCAUCUCUCUGAACAACAGGGACAAAACGAAUGAAGUCUUCUCGACUACAAUCGCAAUCAACAAACCGAAUGAUCAAAGACAUCAGCUUAAUGUCUGCAGUGUCUGCACCAAAACGCCCAACAGUUAAUUCACAAUGUUGCUGCUUCUAUUUUUAUGUUUUGCUGCUGCCAGUGCUCCGUUGAUAAAAAUUAACAUGUUAACUAAAACAAUGACACAUCAAGAGCUUUCUUAUUUCUCUUCUAUCGUAAACUGGUAGACAUGUUUUAACUGUUAUUUUAUCGAGCACACCUCCGCAAGACGUAAAUACAUAUAUCAAGAUGACUGCACUCUUCACUUGUUUAUUGAAACUUUCAUAUUUAUCACAAUGAAAGAAGGGGCAGUAUUUUUCCUCCAAGGAUAAAAAAGGUUAUCGUAUUCUAGGCCUUAACUAAAUAUAAUAAUAACUAUAAUUAUGUGCAAAUGAAAACAAAUCAUCAGGAAUAACUUCUUGUAGAAUAUUUGACACUACUAUUGUGCAAUCCUAUACUAAAGCGUUCAUGGUUUCAGGGGAGGUAUGUGAAUAUAUUACUUUGUUGAUAUUUUGGUAUGAUAGUUACAUCCCUUUGUUUAUGUACUCCCAGGUUAUGAAUGUAAAUUGUCUUGCACGUGAUGUGAACUGAAUGGUUGAGUCUUCCUUGAAUGUGAGAGAGAGUGUGUUAGUCAGUGAAGUCUUGUUCCCGGUCCAGGAAGGUAGGUCAGUUGCUUCCAGGACUGGUGUUUGUGUAAUAAUAUUUCCUGAGAGAGGUGCUUUACUGGAUAUUAAAGUUAUUAUUUUCAUGAA